Molecule: ribosomal RNA, 253 nt
Filed under: uncultured bacterium
Lineage: Bacteria
Description: partial 16S ribosomal RNA
Rfam family: Bacterial small subunit ribosomal RNA
Source: RNAcentral
UACGAAGGGGGCUAGCGUUGCUCGGAAUCACUGGGCGUAAAGGGCGCGUAGGCGGCCAUUCAAGUCGGGGGUGAAAGCCCAGGGCUCAACCCUGGAAUUGCCUUCGAUACUGUUUGGCUAGAGACCGGAAGAGGUAAGUGGAACUGCGAGUGUAGAGGUGAAAUUCGUAGAUAUUCGCAAGAACACCAGUGGCGAAGGCGGCUCACUGGCCCGGUACUGACGCUGAGGUGCGAAAGCGUGGGGAGCAAACAGG